RNAcentral lists this ribosomal RNA (1447 nucleotides) under Klebsiella pneumoniae. RNAcentral's name for it is "partial 23S ribosomal RNA". It matches the Rfam family "Bacterial large subunit ribosomal RNA", at positions 146 to 1637 of the family's 2925-position model. Lineage: Bacteria; Pseudomonadati; Pseudomonadota; Gammaproteobacteria; Enterobacterales; Enterobacteriaceae. The record is from RNAcentral.
CACUAUCGUUAACUGAAUACAUAGGUUAACGAGGCGAACCGGGGGAACUGAAACAUCUAAGUACCCCGAGGAAAAGAAAUCAACCGAGAUUCCCCCAGUAGCGGCGAGCGAACGGGGAGCAGCCCAGAGUCUGAAUCAGCUUGUGUGUUAGUGGAACGGUCUGGAAAGUCCGACGGUACAGGGUGAUAGUCCCGUACACCAAAAUGCACAGGCUGUGAACUCGAAGAGUAGGGCGGGACACGUGGUAUCCUGUCUGAAUAUGGGGGGACCAUCCUCCAAGGCUAAAUACUCCUGACUGACCGAUAGUGAACCAGUACCGUGAGGGAAAGGCGAAAAGAACCCCGGCGAGGGGAGUGAAAAAGAACCUGAAACCGUGUACGUACAAGCAGUGGGAGCACCUUCGGGUGUGACUGCGUACCUUUUGUAUAAUGGGUCAGCGACUUAUAUUCUGUAGCAAGGUUAACCGUAUAGGGGAGCCGCAGGGAAACCGAGUCUUAACUGGGCGUUAAGUUGCAGGGUAUAGACCCGAAACCCGGUGAUCUAGCCAUGGGCAGGUUGAAGGUUGGGUAACACUAACUGGAGGACCGAACCGACUAAUGUUGAAAAAUUAGCGGAUGACUUGUGGCUGGGGGUGAAAGGCCAAUCAAACCGGGAGAUAGCUGGUUCUCCCCGAAAGCUAUUUAGGUAGCGCCUCGUGAACUCAUCUUCGGGGGUAGAGCACUGUUUCGGCUAGGGGGUCAUCCCGACUUACCAACCCGAUGCAAACUACGAAUACCGAAGAAUGUUAUCACGGGAGACACACGGCGGGUGCUAACGUCCGUCGUGAAGAGGGAAACAACCCAGACCGCCAGCUAAGGUCCCAAAGUCAUGGUUAAGUGGGAAACGAUGUGGGAAGGCACAGACAGCCAGGAUGUUGGCUUAGAAGCAGCCAUCAUUUAAAGAAAGCGUAAUAGCUCACUGGUCGAGUCGGCCUGCGCGGAAGAUGUAACGGGGCUAAACCAUGCACCGAAGCUGCGGCAGCGACACUAUGUGUUGUUGGGUAGGGGAGCGUUCUGUAAGCCUGCGAAGGUGUGCUGUGAGGCAUGCUGGAGGUAUCAGAAGUGCGAAUGCUGACAUAAGUAACGAUAAAGCGGGUGAAAAGCCCGCUCGCCGGAAGACCAAGGGUUCCUGUCCAACGUUAAUCGGGGCAGGGUGAGUCGACCCCUAAGGCGAGGCCGAAAGGCGUAGUCGAUGGGAAACAGGUUAAUAUUCCUGUACUUGGUGUUACUGCGAAGGGGGGACGGAGAAGGCUAUGUUAGCCGGGCGACGGUUGUCCCGGUUUAAGCAUGUAGGCUGGUUGUCCAGGCAAAUCCGGAUAAUCAAGGCUGAGGUGUGAUGACGAGGCACUACGGUGCUGAAGUAACAAAUGCCCUGCUUCCAGGAAAAGCCUCUAAGCAUCAGGUAACAU